CCCCCAAAAUCCCCCAAAAUCCUCGCAGGGGGACUGAUCGGUGGCUGAAAGCCCCUUACCCAGCAUCUGGCACAGCUCGGAGCACCAGUGGGCAAGACCCGAGGGGCUCUCUGCACCCAAGGAUGCUCACAGCAGCCUCGUCCCAUCCCGUCCUGCUGCAGGGGGGGUCUGGGGCUGAACACCACCCCCCUUGGGGACACCCAAAACCUCCUCGCCCUCGCCGGCAGCCGCUGGUCUCCACCCGCCAGCCCCGGCGCCAGGGCUUUCCAGCGGUUCCCAGCGCUUUCCAGCGGUGGUUUUGAAAGAGCCGCAUUGUCUGCCUCCCCCCCCCCCGCCGUGGCCCCCUGCUUCUCCGUGUGUUGGGGGGGGUCUGGGCAGCGAGCUCUCCCCCAGCAGGAUCAGCCUCACCCCCUCCGUGCCUCAGUUUCCCCCCUGGCACCUUUUGGGGCGCAGGGGGAGUGGGGCUCAGCCCCCCGAACCCCCAGAUCCCUGGAAACGGACACCAUGGUCCCGUGGGACCCCACGUGGUGCCUGCUGCUGGGGCUCUGCGCCCUGCUCCCCGUCGCCGGCACCCAGGGGACCCCAACCGAGGAUGCGGCGCCGGGGGUCCCCGAGCGCUGCGGCGUCACCUUCCACACCCCCAACCCCUGCGGGGCCCCCCAGGCUCCCCCCUCGGCCUCUCGCCAAGAGCUGGAGCAUCUCCAGAGCCUCCUGCAGCAAACCAGGGCCAGCCUACAGGACGUGGAAGCGGCGGCGGCGCUGGAGGAGCACCGGCCCCGCUACCAGGACGUGAUCGCCGAGGCGCUGCCCGCCAUCCGCGGGGCCAACCGGGAGUUCCAGGAGAGCCUGGACAACGUCCGCAGGGAGCUGGAGGCGCACGUGGCCGAGAGCGAGCACCCGCAGGAGGUGGAGAAGAGGGAGAAGUGAGUGCUGGAGGGGUUUUGGGGACGCAACGGGGUGUCCCCCCAGAGGAGGUGGGCGCAGGAGGGAGCGCGGUUCGCGGUGGGGAGGGAGCCAGCCCCAUGCUGUUGAAAACCAACCUGGGGGGCUCGUCUCUGUGCC
Molecule: long non-coding RNA, 1062 nt
Filed under: Anas platyrhynchos platyrhynchos (common mallard)
Lineage: Eukaryota; Metazoa; Chordata; Aves; Anseriformes; Anatidae
Description: lncRNA (ENSAPLG00000027246.1)
Source: RNAcentral